Molecule: ribosomal RNA, 253 nt
Filed under: uncultured bacterium
Lineage: Bacteria
Description: partial 16S ribosomal RNA
Rfam family: Bacterial small subunit ribosomal RNA
Source: RNAcentral
UACGAAGGGGGCUAGCGUUGCUCGGAAUUACUGGGCGUAAAGGGCGCGUAGGCGGAUAGUUAAGUCAGAGGUGAAAGCCCAGGGCUCAACCUUGGAAUUGCCUUUGAUACUGGCUAUCUUGAGUUCGGGAGAGGUGAGUGGAAUGCCGAGUGUAGAGGUGAAAUUCGUAGAUAUUCGGCGGAACACCAGUGGCGAAGGCGACUCACUGGCCCGAUACUGACGCUGAGGUGCGAAAGCGUGGGGAGCAAACAGG